This is a long non-coding RNA of Brassica napus (rape), 586 nucleotides long. RefSeq lists it as uncharacterized. The record is from RefSeq and is a predicted model, not a curated record. The transcript is spliced from 2 exons. Lineage: Eukaryota; Viridiplantae; Streptophyta; Magnoliopsida; Brassicales; Brassicaceae.
ACUACAUAAAGCCAAUUAAAAAUAUGUGUAAUUCUGCUUUCAUAGUUUCUAUCGUUUUAAUGAUCAUUGUUUCUCCAACUUUUCAUGCUAAAACAGUGUGUAGCAUCACUUGUGCAAUGAUGAAACACAAAGUGAAACCUUGUUUACAAGGUGUCAGGCAACCAGGGGAGAAGCCAACAGAAUUUUGUUGUAAUGCUAUAUAUAGUCUAAACCUCAAAGCAACAACAACACAAGCUCGAAGAUAUCUCUGCCAGUGUUUUAAAGAUGCUAUAAAGUCAUAUCCAUAUAUAAAAAUUAUCGAUUUUCCUGCACUUUGUGAUGUUCCUCUAGCUAUUCCUUUUACACCAUCGAUAAAUUGUCAAGGAAUUACAUUUUGAACCGAAGAAGAAGAUGCAACGGGAAAAAAAUAGUAAUCUUCUCUAUUAAAAAAGAAGUAUCAGUUUUAUCUACUCUAAAAUAGUCAUACUAGAUUCAUAUAAUCAAUUACAUCUAUUUGAUUAUUUAUAUUAAUUUAUUAAAUAUAUAACAUUCCUAAAGUAUCAAAAUAAUUAGAAAGAUAUUAAUAAUAAAUCAAUUUUAACUGUAA